ACGCACGCUGGCGGCGUGCUUAACACAUGCAAGUCGAACGGAAAGGCCCUGCUUUUGUGGGGUGCUCGAGUGGCGAACGGGUGAGUAACACGUGAGUAACCUGCCCUUGACUUUGGGAUAACUUCAGGAGACUGGGGCUAAUACCGGAUAGGAGCUCCUGCUGCAUGGUGGGGGUUGGAAAGUUUCGGCGGUUGGGGAUGGACUCGCGGCUUAUCAGCUUGUUGGUGGGGUAGUGGCUUACCAAGGCUUUGACGGGUAGCCGGCCUGAGAGGGUGACCGGCCACAUUGGGACUGAGAUACGGCCCAGACUCCUACGGGAGGCAGCAGUGGGGAAUAUUGCACAAUGGGCGGAAGCCUGAUGCAGCAACGCCGCGUGCGGGAUGACGGCCUUCGGGUUGUAAACCGCUUUCGCCUGUGACGAAGCGUGAGUGACGGUAAUGGGUAAAGAAGCACCGGCUAACUACGUG
RNAcentral lists this ribosomal RNA (467 nucleotides) under uncultured bacterium. RNAcentral describes it as "partial 16S ribosomal RNA". It matches the Rfam family "Bacterial small subunit ribosomal RNA", at positions 29 to 507 of the family's 1533-position model. The record is from RNAcentral.